This 468-nucleotide ribosomal RNA is filed under the name uncultured bacterium. RNAcentral describes it as "partial 16S ribosomal RNA". It matches the Rfam family "Bacterial small subunit ribosomal RNA", at positions 36 to 507 of the family's 1533-position model. The record is from RNAcentral.
UCCUCCCUCUUUCUUCGUGCUUAACACAUGCAAGUCGAACGGAAAGGCCCUGCUUUUGUGGGGUUCUCGAUUGGCGAACGGGUGAGUAACACGUGUGUAACCUGCCCUUGACUUUCGGAUAACUUCAGGAAACUGGGGCUAAUACCCGAUAGGAUCUCCUGCUGCAUGUUGGGCGUUGGAAAGUUUCGGCGGUUGGGGCUGGAUUCGCUGCUUACCAGCUUGUUUGUCGGGUAGUUGCUUACCAAGGCUUUGACGGGUAGCCCGCCUGAGAGGGUGGCCGGCGACCUUGGGCCUGAGAUAGGGACCAGUCUGCUACGGGCGGCAACAGUGGGGAAUAUUGCACAACGGGCGGAAGCGUGAUACAGCGGCGUCGCGUGCGGAAUGCCGGGUUUCGGGGUAUAAACAGCUUUCGCCUGUGACAAAGCGUGAGUGACGGUAAUGGGUAAAGAAGCAACGGCUAACUACGUG